RNAcentral lists this long non-coding RNA (1189 nucleotides) under Arachis ipaensis. Its description in RNAcentral is "long non-coding RNA (AIPA_LNC002281)". Lineage: Eukaryota; Viridiplantae; Streptophyta; Magnoliopsida; Fabales; Fabaceae. The record is from RNAcentral.
AUACAAAAAAAUAGUUUUUUUAUUAACAAAAGUAAAUAACGUAACAAACGAAUUUGCUACAAGACAAACUCUAGACAUCUCUCUUCUAACUCACAUUUUCUCUCUUUUAUAAGCACUAAUUCACAUAACACAUUGAAACAGAGAAAAAAUAAAAGAACAGAAAAGGAGAAGUGGCAGAGAAUGGAACGAAGAAGAAAGAAGGAGAGGAGGAAGAUGUGGUGUCGAAGAGAUUGAGGAUCGCCGGCGUGGUCGACGCAAAAGGAUGAGAGAGACAAAAUUAGAGAGAGAGAGAGAGAGACUUCAGGUGAAGAAGACGCGACGGAAGAGAGGAAGGAGAGGUUGGGUUGUUCCCGCCGCUGGUGCCGAUUGAACUGCAGCCAUAUCAUUGGGUUCCAAGGAAGAGAGAGCUUGCCGGAGGGAGUCCACUGGGAAGAGUGAGAAACGAGACAAGGAGGGGGUCUUCCUUGCUGGUGCCGUCAUUGUUGAGUCAUGCGUCCUCCAUUGCGUUCUUCUUUCUUCUUUAUCCUAAGAUCUUCUCUUCUUUUUACGUGCUUUUCACUUCUUGUUAAUGGUUGUUGUGUUGUAGUGGUUGUUGGUUGUUGACUUAUUGUGCAGUAAUUUUUAGUAUUGGACAAAGAAAAACACGAAGUUUCGGUAGCAACGGUGGCCAUGGCACUGCAAAAGUAGAGGGAUGGAGGCUGAGAGGAGUGAUUUUAAGACUAGGUUGUGAUUAAUUUGGAAAAUAGAGUCCUAUUCCUAUUAGGAUUAGGGUUUGAAAUUAAAGAAUUAAAUUAAAAAUUUAAAGUUUUUUAUAAAUUGGGGAUUAAAUGUAAAACGGGCUACAUAGGCCAUUUCGUUUGCCACGUCGUUAUAAAACGUUAACGAACCACUUUUUUUUUUUUUGUACGGACUUGCAGUUUUGACAUUUUUUAUUUUAAUUAAGGAUAUUUUUAUCUAUAAUAAAAGUAGAAGUUAUUUUUGUCAUAGUCAGAAUAUAUAUUUUAUGGUUAAAUUUUUACUUUGGUUUCUGAAAUUCAAGUGAUUAUUCAUUUUGAUCCUCGAAAUUUAAAAUUAUCUAGGGUUGGGCUACACAUACAAGCUUACAAGUUGGUCCAGCCCAAACACAAGUCACGUGCAUCAACACAGAUUACAUGGAGCGUCACUUCACGCGCUCAACACAAACGGUUAC